This 248-nucleotide unclassified non-coding RNA is filed under the name Hevea brasiliensis (rubber tree). Lineage: Eukaryota; Viridiplantae; Streptophyta; Magnoliopsida; Malpighiales; Euphorbiaceae. The record is from RNAcentral.
AAAUUCCAUAGCUCAAUUAAAAAUUACAUGGAAAAGCCUCAAUCUACUGAUUCACAAUAUCUGCAGGACAGACUGAAACUAAAUGAUAAAAAGUGAAGCUCCUCCACUCGCUGCAUUGAUCACAAACCAUGUUUGAAUUAAUAUUGCCCAACAUUAUAAAUUCACAAAAUACUUUGAUAGAGCUUCCGUAAUUACUCUGUUUUAAGUUUGUUUAUGUAACAUAGGAAAGUUAAAUAUGACAAGACAAG